This 465-nucleotide ribosomal RNA is filed under the name uncultured bacterium. RNAcentral describes it as "partial 16S ribosomal RNA". It matches the Rfam family "Bacterial small subunit ribosomal RNA", at positions 338 to 795 of the family's 1533-position model. The record is from RNAcentral.
CCUACGGGGGGCAGCAGUGGGGAAUAUUGCGCAAUGGGCGAAAGCCUGACGCAGCGACGCCGCGUGAGGGAUGAAGGUCUUCGGAUCGUAAACCUCUGUCAGCAGGGAAGAACGGUCACUGUGCUAAUCAGCAGUGAAUUGACGGUACCUGCAAAGGAAGCACCGGCUAACUCCGUGCCAGCAGCCGCGGUAAUACGGAGGGUGCGAGCGUUAAUCGGAAUUACUGGGCGUAAAGCGCUCGUAGGCGGUAUGUCAAGUCAAGGGUGAAAGCCCCGCGCUCAACGUGGGAACUGCCUUUGAAACUGGGAAACUGGAGUGUGUGAGAGGAGAGUGGAAUUCCAGGGGUAGGAGUGAAAUCCGUAGAUAUCUGGAGGAACAUCAGUGGCGAAGGCGACUAUCUGGCACAUAACUGACGCUGAGGAGCGAAAGCGUGGGUAGCAAACAGGAUUAGAUACCCGGGUAGUC